AAUUACAAAUGUACCUUCGGCUUGAAAGAAGACAAAAGUACAAGCGUGACGCAAAAGCAAAUGCCAAGUCCGCAUGAACAGUACGGGAGCACUGUUCAUCUAUUUAUAGGCACAGGACGCAGCCCAUAUAAAAUUACACCCAUGCCCUUUACAUUUGCUAAUAACUCUAUAGAAAUCCAUCGAGGUCUAAAUAGCCUUUUCAUCUUUAAGUCGGUUUCCUUUUCUGCUAUCAUGCCGAAGCUCCCCUGCGCAUAGCUUCGGCUCUGCUCCAUCUUUGUAUCCCUUGUGCUUCUUCACACUGUGGUUUUGACCCAAGUCCGAAGGAUCUAAGUCUGAAGUUACCUGCUCAUGUAUUAUACUCCAGAAACAUUGUUAAAUCAUGUUUUUGAGGACCUUCGGAAGCCGAAGGCCCCCAACAGUAGCCCCUCGCAAUAUUAAUCUGUUAGAAUGAUAAAUUCAGAUUGCGAUACGGACGAAGGCCCUAAGCCGAAGGUCCGAAAAAACACCUUCCCUUUGCUAGAAUAGCAACAGUCAAUGACAAGUGGGGCCCUCCCACUUGCAACGCACUAGGCGUAUAAAUAAGAGCACACCGCGAGCUCAUUUGGCACGCUUUUUGCUAUCUGCUCUGCCUGCUCAAUUUUUAGCUCUUGCCUACAAACGCUUUGCCUGGCUUUUUAGAUUUUUUAGCUUCGGCCUUAAGAGCACAUUUUCAACAUUUUCGAAGAGAUGUCUCAAGAUAAGAAAGCUGUUGUUGAAACGAAGCUGAGCCUUUCUGAGGAGAAGAAUCUUGGCUUCCUUGAAUCAAUAGCGAAGACAAAUACAGAGAAGAUUACUAGAGAGAUUUUAGAAGGUUUAUCUGAAGACACCGGUGAUAGUGACAGUUAUGAUGUGGAAAGCGGUGGCGAACACUCCGAAGAUCGACCCUGGCGACCAAGUCAUACAGUUUUCAGAAAAUCAACUAUUAAACAGAGUCAUCUCGACAAUAUGAGGGGAAGAUAUUUUCGAGAUGUGUCUAUCGUGAGGGCUGACAACGGAGACAGGACUUCUCCUGCUCCCGAAGAGAAUGAAGUCGUGAUCUUCCGAAGCUUCUUCAAGGCUAGGCUUCGGUUCCCCCUGAGCAAUUUUGUGGUUGAAGUUUUAAAAAUAUAUCAGGUUUACCUUCAUCAAAUUACUAUCGAAGCAAUCAUUAGAAUGGGAAUAUUUGUCUGGGCCGUGAGGAGCCAGGGCUUAGAGCCAAAUACAAAAAGUUUCUGCAGUAUGCACGAACUGUUAUAUGAGACGAAACCCUGGGGCAAAGAGCAAUACCAUAACAAUUUUGGCUGCUAUAGCUUCGUCGCUCACUCUGGCUCAAGCUGCCCCGUGCCAACCUUCCGGAAAAGAUGGCCUGGGGACUGGAUGAAGAAAUGGUUUUACGUGAAAAACGAUUUAAAGGCACGAGAAGACGUUAAAGAUAUUAUCAUGCGUCCUAUCUAGCAACGCUUCGGCCUUCGGAAACCGAAGGUGGAAAUUGAUGAAGCCGCCGAAGAAUGCCGAAAAGCCUUUGGCAUAGUUUGCUCUUUCAUUGGGACAAGGGAUUUAGUGCAAGAGCACAUAGCCUUCAAAGUGUGGCCACUUGUAGAGAAAUGGGAAAUGCCAAAGGAAACUAUCAACAAGUCUGACGAAGGUGGGCUGGUUAGGUUGAAAUACACCUUCAGAUAUGAAGGUAAGUUUGUUGAGCCAGAUGAUGAUUGGCUGAAAUGUAUCGAAGCUACAAGCGAUGAACUGCUUGGGCCAUAUUCAAAAGCAGAAGAUAACGCGUUAUCUGCGGCCUUCGGAGGCCGGAAGAAGAAGAGGCUGAAUCGAGUUUUCGAUGCUAUUGGGUUUAUGUACUCUGAUUACCGCUACCCGUCGUGGGGGCAGAAGAGAAAGAGUGCCAUUUCUGGGAAGGAUGCUGCUCCAACUGCUCCAAGCGAGCCCGCGCCGAAGAGGAAAAAGGUGAAGGUCCUUACUCACUGGCCACGAUAUAUUGAACCGGCCGAAGUGCCCGAAUUUGGCGGCAAGACCUCUUCGGCUACUAAAGCUGAAGAAUCUGCCCUCACACAGAGGAAUGAGGAACUGGCUACAAUGCCGAAGGCAUCACCAGCCAAAUCAGGUGAGCCAAAGGCCAUUAGUAUUGAAGAGGCAGAGGUCGAAAAGACAAAAAUAUUAGAAGUUAUAAGCCCUUCGGCAGAGGUGAUAGUGCCGAAGGCGCAAAAGGAUCUUACAACGACCCCCAAGAGGAAAAGGAUGGUCAACGUACUAGAUGUACUGGAAAAAAUAAAGACUUCAAGCUCUACUCCAGGGAAAACAGUCGAAGCUUCAAAAACGCGAAUUGAAACAAAACAGACUGAAGCUGAAGCUGCACAAAGUCAUGCCAAGACCGAAGCUGGGCCUUCAGAACCUGCCAAGGAGAAAUCCUUGGAAAUCGGAGAAGAAAAGGCGGAAAAGGAAUCUGCAGAACAAAUUCUGUCUGAAAAAACUGUCAUUCCUAUUCCCGAAGCAUCUUCCGAAGCUCUUGAUUAUAUUAUACGACAUGCUUCGGGAAAAAGGUUAUCUGCAGAACAAAAGCAAGAAGCUCAAUAUUAUGCCCAGAGACUGAAAUAUCCAAAAGGGGCGUUGAUAUUCAACGGCAGCGGAGAAGAAGAAUUCUUGUAUUGUCUCCCAGACAGCAAGGAGAUCUCUGUCUGCCGGGAGAUGGGCAGAAGCUUCGGAUUCCCGACGCUAGAAGACGGGCUCUCAGUGCUAUCAAAAGAUGAAUUGGCCGACAGCUUAGCAUACAACAGCUUAAAGGUGAGGGAAUAAGAUUUUUUUACUUAAAAACAAAAAUUUUCCAUUUGCUUAUACUUAAUACCGCACUCCUUUUGCAGGGCCUUAUUCUUAGCAACGCCCUCAGAGCGCAAAAAAGCGCUGAAGACGAAGGAUGUACCAUAGCCUUGAACAACCUUCGUUUCGAAGUAAUUGAGCUAAGGAACGAAGGUCUUGAAACAGAUAAAAUAUUAAACUCAUUGGUGAACAAGAUAAAAGAAGACGAAGCUACUUCAAAAGCCCAAGCUGAGGCCCAGAAAUGCGAAAUUGAAGAUCUUCAGAAACAGCUGGCAGAAGCAAAACUAAAAUGUGCAAUUGCCGAAGCUGACCGAGAUGCCAGUGACUACUGGAAAAAUUACUAGGAAAAAACAGCUGUGGAGCUUCGUUCUUCAAAAGAAAGAUGCUAUGAGAAAUCUGUAGCAUGUGUACAAAAGAUAAAAACCAGCUUCGCCAAUAUUGGUGCAUAUUCGAAUGAAGACAACUUCGUACUGGGCGACCCUGAAGGUCCAAUCGAAUGGAUCAACGGCGAAGCUGAAGCCUUUGAGGAAGUUUUGAGUGGCCGUGGAGAUGUCUGCGCCUUCUCAGGUGCUAGGGGAAUUGCGGCUAUUCUGGAGAAGGCAGGAUGUGAACACGUGAAGAUUCUGGCCCAAGCCGAAGCUGCUUUCUCUAUUGAUGACACGAAGGAUCCCUCGGCCGAAGCAAGCUUAGUUGGCGGAAAAUUCUUUACUGACAUUUGGGAAAAUGGCGGCCGAGGGAUGGCCCACGAAAUUAUAAAGAAAAGUGAAAAAGAUACUCACAAAGCUAGAGAAGCAACAAAGGCAGCUGAAAGGACUGCAGAACUCCAAAGGCGGAUAGGUAUUGCCUAAUUGCUUUUAACUUUAUGUUUUAUUUUUGUGACUUUCAGACUUAUUUAUGUUUUACAUCGCAGCCGAACUAUCUCCUCCCCCGGAGCCCUUCAAGCCAUUGGUCGACCCCGAAGCAGAAAAGGAAGAUGAAAUUACUAAGAUGGCCGAAGCUAUUAUGGAUGAAGUUGUUACUCGACUACUAAACGAAGCUGCGGAAGCAGUUUUAAAAGAAGAGUAGCUAUUAUUGUAAAAACAUUUGGAAUAUUAAUGUAAUAUUUGCUGAACAAAAUGUGUAAUAUUUUGUAGUUUUGAAUGUAAUAUAUAAGCUUUUUGUAAUUCAAUUCUUUACGAUGCAUGAAACUUUAUGUACAUACCGUUUUUGAGCCUUCAGCGAAAAAACACCUUCCCUUCUUUUCAUGCUUCGUGAAGAAUAUCCAUAUUACGUAAAAACAUUAUCCUUCGUAAGUAAUAGAUCUCCUUCGAUAUUAGAGUUGAUGAAGUUGUAUUGCUUCAAAACUUAUUUUGUGGCUCGGUACAACUUCUUCGAAGCAAUUUCCGAAGAUCAACAUUGCAUCCCCUUCUCUGCCAUUGAUGCAAUAUGAUGUAUGAUGCCAUGUUAUGCGAAUGAUGUGAUAAUGUUAUGCUAUGAAAAAUGAUAUUUGUGCCGAAGAUACACACAUAUUCCCAUAAUAGAACACACAAUCUCUUUGUCGUUUAUUUUUCAGCUUCACCGCUUAUUUUCGGUGUAUCAGCGCUGACUUUUCGUUGUAAGUUCUGCAUUCCCUUAGAAACGUCUUUUGAACUUCUUCGCCUUCUAUUUUGGCGGUAUUCGCGUUGACUUUUCGCGCUUCGCCUUAUAUUACGGCGGAAUCAGCGUUUAUUUUUCGCUGUAAGCUCUGCAUUCCCUUUGGAACGACUUUUGAGCAGAAAACUUACGUUGCGCUCCCUUAGGAACGACUUUUCGUUGCUUCGGUCAAACUUAUGCUGCGUUCCUUAGAACGACUUUUUGUUGCUUCAGCACAACUUGUAAUAUAAUUGUGAACCCCACGCUCUUGAGAACGACUUUCGUGAUUCACCGACUUUUGGAACUUCGUGAGUCUGUGAAGAAAGUUUAUUAUAUCAUGACAAUUACGAAGCUAUUACAAGAAAUUGAAAACAACAAAAGAACUAGGCUUUCAAUGAUUGUUCUUUAUUAAAAAGAAAAUGAUGACGAAUGAAAAAACUGUUUUAAAGGUAGGAUAUCUCCUAGUAGAUGUGCUUCGAUUCUGGCACAGUACUGUUGACUGUGCGAGCUUCGGACUGUUCCCUGAAGUCUCGCUGCUGGUGAGUGUGCUGGCUCCCUUCUGGCUGCUGGCCUUGGGGAUAUGCGGGUUGCAUUGGUGGUGGAGGUGGAGGCUGUUGCCAAGAUGCCUGAGAUUGGCUUGCCGAAGCAACAGAAACUGCAGGAUGGUUACCCACAUACUCUGGUAUAUACGGUGAAUGAUACGAAGCAGUAUGCAUAACUUGCUUCGAUUGAUUGUGUUGAGCUGUAGCUUCUGCUAUCUCCUUCUGUUUCUGGAUGGUGACAUGGCACAUCCUUGUAGUAUGGCCCUUGUCCUCACCGCAGAAUAGGCAAUAAAUUUUCCUGGGCUGAUCCUCAAACCUUCCACCGAAGCCCCUGACGCCUCUGCCCCUUGGAGCUGGAGGCCGAGGAUAGCUUUGUUGCUGCCCCGAAGCCUGGGAGGAAUAUUGCGGCCUCUGCUGCUGACAUCCUCUGUCGUCAUUCUGAGUAGAGUGGAUUGAUCUGACGUGCCUUGGGUGGACUCUUCCUCCGAAGCCCCUGUUCAUUUCGGAGAACCUGUAAGCUUCCUCCCUUCUCUGUCGAAAGUCAUUAUCAGCGCGGAUGUAUUCAUCCAUCUUCUGAAGCAAUUUCUCCAGGGUCUAAGAGGGCUUCCUGGCGAAGUAUUGGGCCACAGGUCCUGGCCGAAGCCCCUUGAUCAUGGCCUCAAUGAUAAUUUCAUUGGGCACUAUUGGCGCUUGUGCCCUCAGACGCAAGAACCUUCGGACAUACGCCUGGAGGUAUUCUUCGUGAUCUUGCGUGCACUGGAACAAAGCUUGAGCAGUAACUGGCUUCGUCUGAAACCGUUGGAAACUGGUGAUCAGCAUGUCCUUCAGCUUCUGCCAUGAUGUGAUUGUUCCUGGCCGAAGAGAGGAGUACCAGGUUUGUGCAACAUUCUUGACUGCCAUGACGAAGGAUUUCGCCAUGACUGCAGUAUUGCCACCAUAUGAAGAUAUGGUUGCUUCGUAGCUCAUCAGAAACUGCUUCGGAUCUGAGUGUCCGUCAUACAUGGGGAGCUGGGGUGGCUUGUAAGACGGGGGCCAAGGUGUAGCCUGCAGUUCUUCUGAUAGAGGAGAAGCAUUAUCAAAAGCAAAAUUUCCAUGAUGGAAAUCUUCAUACCAAUCAUCCUCAUUGUAGAAGCCCUCUUGGUGCAGCUCUCUGUGCUGGGGCCUUCGAUUUUGCUCAUCUUGAGCAAGAUGACGUACUUCUUCGGUGGCUUCGUCAAUCUGCCUUUGUAGGUCAGCUAGCCGAGCCAUUUUUUCCUUCUUCUAUUACACUUGCUGAUGAAGCAUUUCCAUAUUCCUGAUCUCUUGGUCCAACUCGUCCUCUUGGGGUGUUGGACUGGUGGCCUUCCUCUUCUGGCUUCGGGCCUCUUGGUUCGGGUCCAGCGGCUGCAGAACGGCAGCCCCUGUCGCUGAAGCUUUCUUUGGCGGCAUGACGAAGGUCGAUGCUUGCCGAAGGUGGUCGAAAAGGGUUCACCGGAGGUGGGCGCCAAUGUUGGGGACUUGUCCUUAAAUGCUAUGAAUUAAGAACAAGGCAACACAGAAAUUGUUAAACGUUAAAGUCCUUCGUCCUUCGAAGCAUUAUUUCCCUUGGGAUAUAAUGAAUUUCGGACGAAGGUUAUGAAGGACAUACCUUCAUAAGCACAACAAAUAAUGAAGAAGGAUAUUCUUAUAAAGUAUGAACAUUAAAAUAUUAUUAUUAACUCAUUUCUAUUUUAUUAUUAUGGAAAAACUAGAAGUGAUAACGAAUUACAAAUGUACCUUCGGCUUGAAAGAAGACAAAAGUACAAGCGUGACGCAAAAGCAAAUGCCAAGUCCGUGUGAACAGUACGGGAGCAUUGUUCAUCUAUUUAUAGGCACGGGACGCAGCCCAUGUAAAAUUACACCCAUGCCCUUUACAUUUGCUAAUAACUCUAUAGAAAUACAUCGAGGUCUAAAUAGUCUUUUCAUCUUUAAGUCGGUUUCCUUUUCUGCUAUCAUGCCGAAGCUCCCCUGCGCAUAGCUUCGGCUCUGCUCCAUCCUUCGUAUCCCUUGUGCUUCUUCACACUGUGGUUUUGACCCAAGUCCGAAGGAUCUAAGUCCGAAGUUACCUGCUCAUGUAUUAUACUCCAGAAACAUUGUUAAAUCAUGUUUUUGAGGACCUUCGGAAGCCGAAGGCCCCCAAUAGGGUGAUUAAAUGAUAAUAUCUUCUAUGUUAUAAAUCAUGUGAGAAAAAUAUUACGGAGAAACAACUAAUUCAACUUUAAUAUAGGUUAUCACUUGAUUAGACAUCAUGAUUUAGUCAAAUUCUAAUUGUAGAUAGGUUAACUUUAAUGAGCAAGCUUAAUCUACUAAACAAAGAUUAAAUAAUAUCUAACUAUAAGAAUAUGUGCUAUGAUAAAACUAAUGUUGUUGUUGCGUAGACAAUGUUAUUACGAAGCUAACGCAAUUGAAACGGAUUAAAUCAGAGUUAAAUGUAGAAGUUAUGAAUUUUGUAAGUUUAUUGACUUAAUUUUAUAUCAAAAAUCCUUUUUGGGAUCCAUUAGAAACCAGACCGGGUCACGUGUUCUAUUACUCGAGAGAACAUGGACUAAUCUGCAAGGAAUAGGACCCAUCUGUAAUGAUUUUCCCUCAUGCGUGGAUGGCGGGUUAAUUCACCGAGUUCCCAGGGGUUCUUUUGUAAAGAGUACGCGUCGAAGGGGUAUGGGUUCAUCCGAGCCGUAGGAUCUUCAAUCAAGCGCCCCAAUUAGAUCACCAAUCCCGCCAACGCCUGAGCCAUUGGAUCGACCCACAAUGGCCAGGAUCCACCCUAGCCGAAGGGUUAUGCUCUUUCAAUCUGGGUUGUCUACUUAUCGAUCAAUGACCGGGAUUUUAAACAUCGACAACCUAAUCUUAACCCUCCAACCCGCGAGCCACGGUCCUGAUUAACCCAGCCGAAUCGUUAUGUGGCACUUCAUCCCAUCCGUCCAUUCCAGAUCGACGGCUCCUACACUUUCUUCUACCUCUGACCGACCGGCAGCCAUGGCGUUCGCCAGCCCACGAUGGCGCUAUGCAGGCGGGAUGCCCCGGGUGAACCAAUGCCCCAUCACCCGCCGCACUCAAUGCCACACAAAGGAGCUUGGUGAAAGAAAUAGGUAUUCUUAUCUUACCGGUGACCCAUGGGUAGACGACGCCGGCUGCAGAGAACAGGAACACACGGCCAUCCUCAACGUCGUCGAGGCAUCAAGAGUAUCCCACCCCAGGCAUGCCCGGCAGGAGCGCGACCCCCGUCGAGUGCCCCGACAAAGCACCACGUGCGCCAGAGACUCCCAUGGCCAUUGCCCAGGGCCGGAGAUUAGUCGCGGGCGAGCUCCUACAAACCGCCCUGUCUGCCAUUACGGGCCACGGCGUUUGACCGAGCAUGCCCCAGCUAUAUAUGCACCGGAGGGGGGUGAUACCCAGC
This 8409-nucleotide long non-coding RNA is filed under the name Zea mays. Its description in RNAcentral is "long non-coding RNA (ZMAY_LNC002490)". Lineage: Eukaryota; Viridiplantae; Streptophyta; Magnoliopsida; Poales; Poaceae. The record is from RNAcentral.